RNAcentral lists this ribosomal RNA (548 nucleotides) under uncultured bacterium. RNAcentral's name for it is "bacterial SSU rRNA". It matches the Rfam family "Bacterial small subunit ribosomal RNA", at positions 356 to 896 of the family's 1533-position model. The record is from RNAcentral.
GGGGAAUUUUGGACAAUGGGCGCAAGCCUGAUCCAGCCAUGCCGCGUGUCUGAAGAAGGCCUUCGGGUUGUAAAGGACUUUUGUCAGGGAAGAAAAGGCUGUUGCUAAUAUCGACAGCUGAUGACGGUACCUGAAGAAUAAGCACCGGCUAACUACGUGCCAGCAGCCGCGGUAAUACGUAGGGUGCGAGCGUUAAUCGGAAUUACUGGGCGUAAAGCGAGCGCAGACGGUUACUUAAGCAGGAUGUGAAAUCCCCGGGCUCAACCUGGGAACUGCGUUCUGAACUGGGUGACUGGAGUGUGUCAGAGGGAGGUAGAAUUCCACGUGUAGCAGUGAAAUGCGUAGAGAUGUGGAGGAAUACCGAUGGCGAAGGCAGCCUCCUGGGAUAACACUGACGUUCAUGCUCGAAAGCGUGGGUAGCAAACAGGAUUAGAUACCCUGGUAGUCCACGCCCUAAACGAUGUCAAUUAGCUGUUGGGCAACUUGAUUGUUCAGUAGCGUAGCUAACGCGUGAAAUUGACCGCCUGGGGAGUACGGUCGCAAGAUUA